Molecule: long non-coding RNA, 210 nt
Filed under: Mytilus galloprovincialis (Mediterranean mussel)
Lineage: Eukaryota; Metazoa; Mollusca; Bivalvia; Mytilida; Mytilidae
Source: RNAcentral
GAAUGAUUACAUAGGCAAUAAAAUACCGCGAAAAAUAAUUUUGAAGCGGGAAAACAUUACGCCCUCUAUGCUACAUAUGAUGAAAACACCCAGGAGAAAUUAAUUUCACUCUAAUGCACUGCCCGUUUAAACGAAUGAAAUUAUAAUUCUCCUGGUAUAAACCACCCAUCAAUGUAGACAUAAAACCAAUACUUGCACCAAAUAACCAAG